Molecule: non-coding RNA, 46 nt
Organism: Caenorhabditis japonica
Lineage: Eukaryota; Metazoa; Nematoda; Chromadorea; Rhabditida; Rhabditidae
Source: Rfam
CCAACGGCCCUCUUUAGGGCCACAAAUUCCACAACUACUGAAAUCG